AUGAGUCACAAAAUAAAGGAGGGGAAGAAGGAAAGAAAGAAAGAAAGAAAGAAAGAAAGAAAGAAAGAAAGAAAGAAAGAAAGAGGGGAGAGAAGAAAAAGAGAGGGGGAGAGAGGGGAGGAGAGAUGAAAAUGAGAGGGGGGAGAGAGGGGAGUAGAGAAGAAAAAGAGGAGGGGAGAGAGGGGAGUAGAGAAGAAAAAAAUGGAUGGACUUGUACUAACCCAACUGUGGACCCCUCUUUCAGAGGAGUCAAAUAUCCACCAGUCAAAUGUCAUCCUCCUCCUCUCCCUCUAUCCCAUUCUUCCUCCUCCAAGCCUUUCUCUUCUCCUCCCAUACUCUGUAAUACUCUACCAACUGCACAUUCCUACACAUGUUUUAUUGGAGAGUGGAGCCUACUUUAAUAUAUCACUGUUUGUGCCAACAGUAGGCUACUGAAGACAUUUGUGUGUGUGUGUGUGUGUGUGUGUGUGUGUGUGUGUGUGUGUGUGUGUGUGUGUGUGUGUGUGUGUGUGUGUGUGUCUGUGUGUGUGUGUGUGUGUGUGUGUGUGUCUGCAUUUAGGGCUAGAAUCUGUAACCGGAUUGAGCGUUACAGUAUAUAGUAAGUACUAAGCCAUCACGGUCUUGGUUUAAGUCAUCUAUUUCUCUUCUCCAACUCCAUUUCUGUCUCUCUCUUUCUUUCUCUCUCCCUCUUCUUUCUUUCUAUCGUGGUACUUGUUUUUCGUGAACAAUAUAGAGGUACAGCAGAGACUAAUAAUAGUAGGAAUAGUGAUGACCAUUACUGUAAUAACCAUAGUAUAAGACCACAGUAUACAGUAUUACCGUAAUAACCGUAAUAAGCACAGUAUAUGACAGUAGUAACCAUAGUAUACAGUACUACCGUAAUAACCGUAAUAAGCACAGUAUAAGACAGUAGUAACCAUAGUAUACAGUACUACCGUAAUAACCGUAAUAAGCAGAGCAUAUGAUAGUAGUAACCAUGGUAUACAGUAUUACCGUAAUAACCACAGUUUAUGACACUUGUAACCAUAGUAUACAGUAUUACUGUAAUAACCACAGUAUAUUACAGUAGUAACCAUAGUAUACAGUAUUACCGUAAUAACCGUAAUAAGCACAGUAUAUGACAAUUGUAACCAUAGUAUACAGUAUCACCAUAAUAACCACAGUACUUCAGAAAGAGUAAAAACUCUGCAUACCUCUAAGGGAGUGUAAUACCAAGGUAGCUGAAAACCAUAGAAUUAGAAUGAGCAGAAGGUGCAUAGAACCUCGGACAAUGACAAUUUGACAUUAUGGCCUCAUUGACUUGAAUAGGGAAUCCCCAUUCUAGUCAUUCUAUUUCUGUGCUGAAAACACAGAGGCUCCAGUAUACAAGGCAAACCAACACUGAGUUUCUUCGUAGUUGUUUUUAAUAUAGUUCCAUUCACUAAAUAUUUUAAACAAGUGUCACUUGACUAUGGAUUAAUAAUGUUAUAAUUGACUUUUUUUCUUUUUUUUGUUCUUCUUCUUACGUCUUUAUAAAGUUGUUGUUUGGUUUUUCCUGAAGGAACGACGUAAGAAAAA
This 1557-nucleotide long non-coding RNA is filed under the name Salmo salar (Atlantic salmon). RNAcentral describes it as "lncRNA (ENSSSAG00000095120.1)". The record is from RNAcentral. Lineage: Eukaryota; Metazoa; Chordata; Actinopteri; Salmoniformes; Salmonidae.